GAGCGAAUUGAUGGGAGCUUGCUCCCUGAUAUAUGCGGCGGACGGGUGAGUAACACGUGGGUAACCUGCCUGUAAGGUUGGGAUAACUCCGGGAAACCGGAGCUAAUACCGGAUAACAUUUCGAACCGCAUGGUUCGAAAUUGAAAGAUGGUUUCGGCUAUCACUUACAGAUGGACCCGAGGCGCAUUAGCUAGUUGGUGAGGUAACGGCUCACCAAGGCAACGAUGCGUAGCCGACCUGAGAGGGUGAUCGGCCACACUGGGACUGAGAGACGGCCCAGACUCCUACGGGAGGCAGCAGUAGGGAAUCUUCCGCAAUGGACGAAAGUCUGUCGGAGCAACGCCGCGUGAACGAUGAAGGCCUUCGGGUCGUAAAGUUCUGUUGUUAGGGAAGAACAAGUUCCAGAGUAACUGCUGGUCCCUUGACGGUACCUAAC
This 436-nucleotide ribosomal RNA is filed under the name Metabacillus litoralis. RNAcentral's name for it is "bacterial SSU rRNA". It matches the Rfam family "Bacterial small subunit ribosomal RNA", at positions 64 to 483 of the family's 1533-position model. The record is from RNAcentral. Lineage: Bacteria; Bacillati; Bacillota; Bacilli; Caryophanales; Bacillaceae.